UAAUACCGCAUAACGUCGUAAGACCAAAGAGGGGGACCUUCGGGCCUCUUGCCAUCGGAUGUGCCCAGAUGGGAUUAGCUAGUAGGUGGGGUAACGGCUCACCUAGGCGACGAUCCCUAGCUGGUCUGAGAGGAUGACCAGCCACACUGGAACUGAGACACGGUCCAGACUCCUACGGGAGGCAGCAGUGGGGAAUAUUGCACAAUGGGCGCAAGCCUGAUGCAGCCAUGCCGCGUGUAUGAAGAAGGCCUUCGGGUUGUAAAGUACUUUCAGCGG
This 276-nucleotide ribosomal RNA is filed under the name uncultured bacterium. RNAcentral describes it as "partial 16S ribosomal RNA". It matches the Rfam family "Bacterial small subunit ribosomal RNA", at positions 164 to 442 of the family's 1533-position model. The record is from RNAcentral.